AACAGCAAAAGGGACUAGUCCCAAAACGCCUAAUCCAAAAUCUGAAACAAGAAAUGGAAACAAAAAACAAAUAAAAAGGGGAAAGACAAAACCCUCCUAUAGUCAAGACACCACUGUCUCUAAAUCUUCCGUCAUCAAUGGUGGACCUCCGUCAACCUCUUCUCGACUCCGGCAGCUAUGGUGGACCUACAUCAAAGAUCCUUGUGCAAAUGAUGAGAUAGGAGUUAGACCUUACUCACUGUGGAACUAGAGACUCAUAUCAUCGAGCUUGGAUAGAGUACAUCAAGACGUUAAAAAUCUCACUAACGCCAUGUAUUCUUGUCCGUUGAAGACUUCUUCAGCUCAAAACAUUGGUCCCUUUCCUGUGUGAGAGAUCUAUCUUCUUUGGAGCUUUCUCCAGAUAUCAGUGCCUUGUAGAAAACCAUUUUCCUUAGAUCUUCGCCUCUUGACAGAUUGAGCUCCGAGGGAACUGAUACCACUGUCUAAGAAGCUAGGAUCUAAAGUCUAUGUAUAUUUGUUAGAGUAUUAGACCAGGUAUAGCAUUGAAUAGAGGUCUAAGAUUAGCUGAACAAGUUGCAUUCCACCACUUAUACACUGUGUCCUUUAUCUGAAGAAAAGGACCUUCUACACCAGCAGCUCUAGUAAAACUACUCCACAUUUGAUUAGCAGCAAGGCAGGAGACAAAGAGGUGUUGAAAACUUUCAUUAGCCAUCUGAUCACAACAGCAACACACCAUCUCCUCCUCAGUUUCAAAUCUGGCUAGGACUUCACCAAUAGGGAUCCUUUUCAUUGCUAAUCUCCAGAAAAAGAAAGAUACUUUAAAAGGUGAGCAACCAGUAAGGAGCUCCUCACUAUUGUCUGACCUGUAUCUGUUAUCAACAUCUUCUAAAUGCAGAUGAGGCUCUUUCUCAAACUCCACCGUAUCUAACACCACAGCAUCCUGCCCUCCCAAGCUGUCUCCAUAACCUAUUUGGUUUCUUGUAUCAAUGUGGAGUCAUUCCCUGUGAUUAACAAAUCAUCUACAUAUACAAGUACAAUCACCAAUGAUGUGCCUUUCCUUUUUGUAAACAAGGAAUAAUCCAGAUGACUCUGAAUGUAGCCUGAUUUAGACAAUGCAUCAGUCAACUUUGCAUUCCAUUGUCUUAAAGCCUGCUUAAGUCCAUAUAAUGACUUAAAAAGCCUACAUUCCCUUUUAUUGAAUCCCUUAGGCAAAUCCAUGUACACUUCUUCAACCAAAUCUCCUUGCAAGAAUACAUUAAAAACAUCCAUUUGAUAAAUCAUCUAGUUCUCUGCUGCUGCAACAACAAUAAUGGUCCUAACCGUCACCAUUUUUACCACUGGUGAUAAAGUCUCCUGAUAAUCAAUUCCGUCAGUCUGGCUAUAGCCUUUUGCUACAAGUCUGGCUUUAUAUCUAUCAAUUUCACCAUUUGCCUUAUACUUGAUCUUAAAAACUCAUUUACACCCUAUGUCAUUCUUUCUGGGAGGAAACUUCAUUACUCUCCAUGUACCAUUGUCUUCCAAUGAACUAAUUUCGUGCUUCAUGGCUUCUACCCAUCUGGGGUCUUUGAUUGCUUCUUCAUAACUACUUGGUUCUGUGUCAGUGGAUAUUCCACUCAAAUAUGCUUGGUAUGUGGGAGAUAAGUGAUUGUUAGGAUGCAUAGUUGGCUAAGGAAUGAGGGUGCAUGGAGGCUGUCAUAAUAGUCACAUAUUCUUUCAUCCAAACAGGUGGAUGAGAUACUCUUGAGGAGGUUCUAGGCCUGACUUCAUGUACAAUAUCUUGACUCACCAAGGAAUCAUUAAUAACAAUUGGAUCAUUGACAACAUCUUGAUUCACCAAGGAAUCAUUCUCAACAUCUUGGUUCAGGUCAUUCAUAAUAUUCUGAUGAUCAAGUGCAUCGUUUGUGGGAACUUCAUUAUCAGUAAUAACUCUUUUCUGAAGCUCUUCAUAUCCAAGUUUAUCUAUCUGUUGAACAAAAUUUGGCAAGUAUUUAUCUUUCAUUUUGCUGAAUGGAAAUACAUGCUCCUUGAAGACAACAUCCCUGUUUAUUAUAAAUUUUUUGAAGGCUCAGAUUAUACAACAAGUACCCCCUUUUGAGUUGGUGAAUACCCUAUCAUGACACAGGCAUCUGCUCUAGAGGAAAACUUAUCAACCUUCACAACUUUGGUGGCAUAACAUAAACAACCCAUGGUUCUCAAAUGAUCAAGGGAUGAUUUAACCUUAUGAAAGAUUUCGUAAGGUGAUUGGCCUUGUAACACCUCAGUAGGCAUUAUGUUGAUCAAGUAUACAACUGUUUCUGCACAUUCUCCCCAAAAUCUAAUAGGAAUGGAUCCCUGAAACCUGAAAGCUCUUGCUACCUCAAGUAUGUGUCUAUGUUUCCUCUCUGCCACCCUAUUUUGUUGAGGGGCAUGAGGACAACUGCUCUCCUGUAUUAUACCCAAAUAAGAGAAUAAUGAAUUGCAAUCUCUAUUAAAAACCUCAGUUUCAUUGUCAGGUCUAAUUCUUCUUACUUAUUUAUCAAAUUGAUUUGAACCAAUGAAAAGAAGGAUUUCAGAACACCAAAUACAUCACUUUUGUAUUUUAUUAGAAACAACCAAGUCAUUCUUGAAUUGUCAUCCACAAUGGUGAGAAAAAAAAUUCUAAAACCAUUAUGUGUAGAAAAUCUAUAUGGUUCCCAUACAUUAAGAUGAAUAAGAUCAAAGAUAUCACCUAUUCUCGACACAUUUACAGGAAAUGGAAGCCUUGUUUGUUUUGCAAAAGGACACACCGGACAAUUUUCACACAAUUUAACAUAUGACUCUUUCUUAACUAAGGACAAUUGUCUUAAAGUUCUUAUAGAUGGAUGACCCAUUCUAUUAUGCCAUACUAUGCAUUGUGAUUCACAUAUCUUUGUCAUUAACACCACCUUUUCAUCAUCAGCAGUUGUGUUUGAAGAAGAGAAUUAACUGGAAAAGUAGUACAACCCAUAUACCUCCUUACCAAUUCCCUUCACUUCUCCAUUGAAGAGGUCCUGAAAAACACAAAAUUCAGGAUCAAAAUGGAUAGAACAUUUGAGUUGUCUAGUCAGCUAAGCCAUUAAAAGUAAGUCGUAUUUGAAAUCAUGUACCACCAAAACAUUUUCUAAUACCCCUGCUGCUGGUAUCACACAACUACCUGAAUGAGUAACUAAAGUAGUUUGCCCAUUAGGAAGAUAUACUUUCUUACCUAUGUUUCUGUCAGAUGAAUUGAUAUGAUCCAAUUUAUCAAGGUGAGAAGUCAUGUGGCAUGUUUCCACAGAGUCAACUAUCCAAUUAUUCCACUAUUUAGUGUGUCAUUCCUAUCAUUCAUGAUAGCCACAUAAUCCUUCCCUCUAGUGGAUGCUGAAAGAAUUUUACCAUAGGAAUUCCCUACCAUGUUGACCAUCUCAGCAGCCUUCUCCUCUUUAUUUAGAAGUUGUACUAUCUUCUGAUAUUGCUUUGAAGUAAAGUUUGGUUGUGCAGCAAGUGUCUGUAGGUUAGUUCGAAUGGAAUUAAGGUCAUAAGGAUCAUGUGUAGACUUCUGUCCUAUCUCAACUAGUCCAAACACAUCUGCAGUCUCAUCUUCUCUAGAAACCUGUACAUUAUUUGCAAUGCCUCUUCCUCUAGUUACAUUGAUACCUCUAGUCGAGUUUGUGAAGUUUUGCUCAUUAUGUUACCCUGCUGGCUUCCUUUUAAACUUCCAGUCUUCUAGAUAUCAAACCAGUUUGAAACACACCUUUUGAGCGUGGCGAUGCAUCUUACAAUGAUCACAAAAUAGAUUCUGAUUCACCUUCUUCUUAGCAUUAUAGUAUCCUCUACCGGUGUUCAUGGAUGAUUCAGACCUAUCACCAUCAGUUCAAUUAUAGGUUCCUCUCCCUGCAAGCAGUGUUGUGUUAUCCACCAUAUCUUCUCUAGUACGCAUCGUCGAGGUAAUUCUCUGACUCUCAUCUGACAUUAUGAUUGCAUACACCUUGCUUACACUUGCUAAUGGACUCAACAUUAAGAUUUGACUACGUGCAUGCCCAUACGUCUCAUUCAAUCCCAUUAGAAAAGAAAACAAUCAAAGAUAAUGUACAUGAUCCAUAUACAUUCUAGAUCUUUCGCAAUUACAUGCUGGAGGGGGUACAAGAGCAUCAAAUUCAUCCUAAAGCAAUCAUAACUUCGAAAAAUAAGCUGGAACAGACAUGUUACCUUGAUUUAUCGUGCAAAUUUCCCUGUGAAGCUGAUAUGUCCUUGAACCAUCAACUUUAUUAAAUUGCUCCUUCAGAUCUGCCCAUACCAUUACAGCAUCUGAAACAUAAACAAUUCCACUCAAUAAUUUUUUUGAGACUCUGUUCAUAAUCCAGGCGAGCAGAAAUGCAUUGCAUUUCUCCCAUUGCUCCUCCAAUUUCGGUGCAUAAUCUUUUUUUCUGCAUGUUCCGAGUACAAAACCGAUCUUACUAUUUGCCCUAAGAGUGAUUAACAUGUAUCUACUCCAUAAUGCAUAAUUCUCUGCUCUAGUGAGUUGACCCGAGGUUAAAGCACAGCCUGGAGUGUCCGAUGGAUGGAGGUAAAGAGGAUGAUUCCUCUUUGAUUCAAUUACUUAAAGUGUCUUUAUUGUAACAGUUGCAGCUGCUACUUCUUCAAUUGCAGAAGGCAUUGUCAGCUAUCAAAACUCUAUGUUUCUUCAAUGGGGGUUUUCAGGAUCGAUUGCAGUGAAUCAAACAAUUAUCAAUUCAAUGCUCUGAUACCAUGAUGAAUUUAGGAAGAGAGAAGAGAGAAUUGGGAAAUUUUGUAUUUCACAUUAAAAAUGUGUUUAAAAAAUGAAAGAGCUCCUAUAUAUACAAUUGUACUAGUUACUAACUACUUCUAAUCUUCUAGAAUUGUGUAACAAACUUAACCGACUAUAAUGACGACAAGUAGAGUUAAUUAACCCUCAACUAACUUUGUGAACCUAACUAAC
Long non-coding RNA from Solanum tuberosum (potato), 4936 nucleotides. RefSeq lists it as uncharacterized. NCBI's taxonomy places the organism in Eukaryota, Viridiplantae, Streptophyta, Magnoliopsida, Solanales, Solanaceae. The transcript has 5 exons. The record is from RefSeq and is a predicted model, not a curated record.